Molecule: ribosomal RNA, 462 nt
Filed under: uncultured bacterium
Lineage: Bacteria
Description: partial 16S ribosomal RNA
Rfam family: Bacterial small subunit ribosomal RNA
Source: RNAcentral
GACGAACGCUGGCGGCGUGCUUAACACAUGCAAGUCGAACGGAAAGGCCCUUCGGGGUACUCGAGUGGCGAACGGGUGAGUAACACGUGGGUGAUCUGCCCUGCACUUUGGGAUAAGCCUGGGAAACUGGGUCUAAUACCGAAUAGGACCACGCGCUUCAUGGUGUGUGGUGGAAAGCUUUUGCGGUGUGGGAUGGGCCCGCGGCCUAUCAGCUUGUUGGUGGGGUAAUGGCCUACCAAGGCGACGACGGGUAGCCGGCCUGAGAGGGUGACCGGCCACACUGGGACUGAGAUACGGCCCAGACUCCUGCGGGAGGCAGCAGUGGGGAAUAUUGCACAAUGGGCGCAAGCCUGAUGCAGCGACGCCGCGUGAGGGAUGACGGCCUUCGGGUUGUAAACCUCUUUCACCAGGGACGAAGCGUAAGUGGCGGUACCUGGAGAAGAAGCACCGGCCAACUACGUG